RNAcentral lists this ribosomal RNA (467 nucleotides) under uncultured bacterium. RNAcentral describes it as "partial 16S ribosomal RNA". It matches the Rfam family "Bacterial small subunit ribosomal RNA", at positions 28 to 507 of the family's 1533-position model. The record is from RNAcentral.
GACGAACGCUGGCGGCGUGCUUAACACAUGCAAGUCGAACGGAAAGGCUCCAGCUUGCUGGAGUGCUCGAGUGGCGAACGGGUGAGUAACACGUGGGCAAUCUGCCCUGCACUCUGGGAUAAGCCUGGGAAACUGGGUCUAAUACCGGAUAGGACCUUUCUCCUCAUGGGGUUUGGUGGAAAGUUUUUCGGUGCAGGAUGAGCCCGCGGCCUAUCAGCUUGUUGGUGGGGUAAUGGCCUACCAAGGCGACGACGGGUAGCCGGCCUGAGAGGGUGAUCGGCCACAUUGGGACUGAGAUACGGCCCAGACUCCUACGGGAGGCAGCAGUGGGGAAUAUUGCACAAUGGGCGAAAGCCUGAUGCAGCGACGCCGCGUGAGGGAUGACGGCCUUCGGGUUGUAAACCUCUUUCAGUAGGGACGAAGCGAAAGUGACGGUACCUGCAGAAGAAGCACCGGCUAACUACGUG